Molecule: ribosomal RNA, 240 nt
Filed under: uncultured bacterium
Lineage: Bacteria
Description: partial 16S ribosomal RNA
Rfam family: Bacterial small subunit ribosomal RNA
Source: RNAcentral
GCAAGUCGAGCGAGAAAGCCAACUUCGGGUGCGAGUAGAGUGGCGGACGGGUGAGUAAUGCAUAGGAAUCUGCCUAGUAGUGGGGGACAACUACCGGAAACGGUAGCUAAUACCGCAUACGACCUACGGGUGAAAGGGGGCUUCGGCUCUCGCUAUUAGAUGAGCCUAUGUCAGAUUAGCUAGUUGGUGGGGUAAUGGCCCACCAAGGCAACGAUCUGUAGCUGGUUUGAGAGGAUGAUC